This 152-nucleotide unclassified non-coding RNA is filed under the name uncultured fungus. Its description in RNAcentral is "sequence contains ITS1". The record is from RNAcentral. Lineage: Eukaryota; Fungi.
UCGAUUAAAAACGGGGGCGCUCGCGUCCCGUCAGUACCCUUUGCUUAUGCGUACCCUUUGUUGCUUCCUCGGUGGGGACGCCCGCCGGUGGAUAGCCCUUUUAAACCCUUUUGCAGUUGCAAUCAACUUCUGAUAUGAUAUAAAUUUAGUCA